UACGGGAGGGUCCAAGCGUUAUCCGGAUUUAUUGGGUUUAAAGGGUGCGUAGGCGGUUUGAUAAGUUAGAGGUGAAAGCCCGUAGCCCAACUACGGAACUGCCUCUGAUACUGUCAGGCUAGAGAAUGGUUGCUGUGGGCGGAAUGUGUGGUGUAGCGGUGAAAUGCUUAGAGAUCACACAGAACACCGAUUGCGAAGGCAGCUCACAAAGCCAUAUCUGACGCUGAGGCACGAAAGCGUGGGGAGCAAACAGGAUUAGAUA
This 262-nucleotide ribosomal RNA is filed under the name uncultured prokaryote. RNAcentral's name for it is "partial 16S ribosomal RNA". It matches the Rfam family "Bacterial small subunit ribosomal RNA", at positions 524 to 784 of the family's 1533-position model. The record is from RNAcentral.